This 294-nucleotide ribosomal RNA is filed under the name Triticum aestivum (bread wheat). Its description in RNAcentral is "partial small subunit ribosomal RNA". The record is from RNAcentral. Lineage: Eukaryota; Viridiplantae; Streptophyta; Magnoliopsida; Poales; Poaceae.
AUGGGGCGGCGCAGGCAGGAGGACGGUGGGAGGCGGCGGAGCUGGAUGGAGCACGGGACAAGGAGGAGGCCACCGACGAUGCACUCGACAGUGAGGGCCAGCAACACAUCAGCGGCAGGAGGGAGGCGAUGGUGGCGGAUGGCAAGGAAGGCAAGCAGCUCGGCCCUGGCGUUAGGCCGGGGUCACGGAGGAGAUGCAGGAGGACCGCAGGGCGAGGCAGGGAGGAGGCGGUUGGGCCCGCCAUGGCAGGCGGUGGACGGAGCAGAGGCAAGGCAGGGCGAGCUCACCGCGUAA